GGGGCUAUGGCUCAGUGGUGAAGCAUUAGUUUUGCAUGCAGAAGGUCCUAGGUUCAAUUCCUGUUAUCUCCA
This 72-nucleotide transfer RNA is filed under the name Sphaerodactylus townsendi. RNAcentral describes it as "tRNA-Ala". It matches the Rfam family "tRNA". From Rfam's summary of the family: Transfer RNA (tRNA) molecules are approximately 80 nucleotides in length. Their secondary structure includes four short double-helical elements and three loops (D, anti-codon, and T loops). Lineage: Eukaryota; Metazoa; Chordata; Lepidosauria; Squamata; Sphaerodactylidae. The record is from RNAcentral.